Long non-coding RNA from Equus asinus (donkey), 1642 nucleotides. The record is from Ensembl. NCBI's taxonomy places the organism in Eukaryota, Metazoa, Chordata, Mammalia, Perissodactyla, Equidae.
GAAACUUUCUGGCUACCGGAGCUGUAGGAAAAGUUCUUUAUCUAGAUCUCUGGAGGCAAAGCUGAUAUAUGACAGCUACUUUUGUUCUAAAAAUUAUGUAGGUGGCAUGUGAAGAGCCUUGUUUUCUAAGAAGUCUGUUCUGUGGACCAAUUUCGAAUAAUUUGUGGUACUUUUUCUAGUUUUGGAAGGAAAACGUCCCUCUACAUAGAACUGCUGGCAUGGAUGGCCCUUUGAUUUUGGCAUGAGCGAUCGUGCAGCAUGUUUGAAGAGAACCUGUUCUCUCAUAUUUCCUUAACUAAAGAUGGCCUCUUUAGCAAGUUAGAGCUUUUUCAGUCUUAAGCAGUGCCUUUUUGCCCGCUUAGUUGAUGACUGAAAGGAAGAGAGAAUUUGAUCACUGAAUUUUCUGACCUGUCAUUGUGGAGCCGACCAAGUAGUGUUGCAACAAGGCUGAAAAUCGGAUUAGCUGCAUUUAGAAGAGAAACUUAAACCACUCCAGGUAAAAUAACCUUGUAAAGAAAAAAGUAAGAGUAUUUCAGAGGCCUUGGCUAGGUUCAUGAUGAUACAGGACCUUGUCUGAACAAAGUGAUUUCAAAAUUUGAGCUUAAAAUGACACCCUGAAAUCCAGUCAAUGUGCCUCAUUACUUUUCAGAGAACAUUAUUCUUGAGAGAAUGUUGGCUUGACAUGUGAAAACUUUGAAUACUUAGAAAUGGCAGGUGUAGUAGUACACUUUGCCAGUUACUCAGUUACCCUUUUUUAUUUUCAUAGAUAUUCUGGGAUAAUUCCUUUUUUUUUUUUUUUUUUUACUGUAUAUAUGUGCAUGCUGAUGAAAGCAAAAAAGAAAGCACAUCCUUGGAUCUGAGAAGGCACGCGUGUGGUGAGAUGGAAGGAAGGACACGCAAAAAGGAAAUUUAGCACCUCUUGGAUCAAACCUUGAAUGCCACAGUGCUAGGUGUUUAACUGAUGUCCAGGAAGGAGAGAAACUAAUAUUAUGAUGAAAUACAAUGAAUGUGUUGGAUAUGGUGGAAGAAAAACAUUUGCAGAUAAUCUGAGUACAGCUGUGACAUCAUCAGGAACAUUCCUCUUUUAUGGAGUUCCUUAAUUCAUAAGUCUUAACCGUGAAUCAAAGGAGAUGAUAAUUCCGAGAAAAGAUACUUUACCAAGUUCAUUUUUAAUCCCAAGAAUCGGUGCCACUGGAUCUCUAUUGCAAUAUUCCUCAUUCAGGUGUUCGUCACUGCCAUCUCUGGUCCUAGGAGUACCCCUUGGCGAUAUGAUUAUUCUGUGGGUGAAGAUUUCUGACAGUGCCAGAAUGUAUAUAGGAUCAACUGGGAAGGACCCAGUGGUUGAGAGAGAUUCAGACAUCUACUACUUCAUUCGCAUAUCUGGCACUUGGUUUGUGGUGAUGUGGAAGGCUGGGCUUACUGGAGGCUUUCAACUAGAGUACUUUCACACAGCCAGGUUCACAGAGGAAGCAUCGUAAGAAUGAGUGUUAGAAGAGAGCCUUGUGAAAGUGGUGUGGCCUUUCUGAUAGCUUCAGAAGUCAUGUAGCAUCACUUCCGCCAUAUUCUGUUGGCCAGCAGUGUCAUAUGACCAGCCCAAAUUCCAGCAGAGAUUCCAUCUUAUAGUGAGAGAGUGCCAAGGUAA